Podarcis lilfordi (Lilford's wall lizard) is the source of this 89-nucleotide non-coding RNA. The record is from the annotation of a GenBank genome assembly. NCBI's taxonomy places the organism in Eukaryota, Metazoa, Chordata, Lepidosauria, Squamata, Lacertidae.
GCAGUGGUCCAGCAGGCUGAUCUUAUGUGCUAAUAAGGAGCAUCUGCUUUGCAUGCAGAAGGUUCCAGGUUCAAUCCCCGGCAUCUCCA